AAAAGGCACCUUGUGGAUGGGGUUUUUACUUUUGCCCAUAAACCCUACAAAAGGGCAAAGAAUUUGAAAUCCCAAUUAGCCAAAGAUUUUAACUCAACCUAAUGAUCUCCGGAACCCGCCACCAAUCCAUCAGACACCUUCUACUUCUCUGCAGAGCUUCCUCGCCGGAAUCCACCAACAACUCCGUCGCCGUUCUCCACCGCAGCCAUUUUCUCAAUCAGCACCAUCGAUCCAUCACGAAAGUAAGGCUAAAAUGGGUUAAGAACCGCAGCAUCGAUCACAUAAUCGACGUCGAGACCGAUCUCAAGGCCGCUUCU
RNAcentral lists this long non-coding RNA (317 nucleotides) under Linum usitatissimum (flax). RNAcentral's name for it is "long non-coding RNA (LUSI_LNC004606)". Lineage: Eukaryota; Viridiplantae; Streptophyta; Magnoliopsida; Malpighiales; Linaceae. The record is from RNAcentral.